RNAcentral lists this ribosomal RNA (599 nucleotides) under Metarhizium granulomatis. RNAcentral describes it as "SSU rRNA". It matches the Rfam family "Eukaryotic small subunit ribosomal RNA", at positions 821 to 1443 of the family's 1831-position model. The record is from RNAcentral. Lineage: Eukaryota; Fungi; Ascomycota; Sordariomycetes; Hypocreales; Clavicipitaceae.
AAUAGGACGUGCGGUUCUAUUUUGUUGGUUUCUAGGACCGCCGUAAUGAUUAUAGGGACAGUCGGGGGCAUCAGUAUUCAAUUGUCAGAGGUGAAAUUCUUGGAUUUAUUGAAGACUAACUACUGCGAAAGCAUUUGCCAAGGAUGUUUUCAUUAAUCAGGAACGAAAGUUAGGGGAUCGAAGACGAUCAGAUACCGUCGUAGUCUUAACCAUAAACUAUGCCGACUAGGGAUCGGACGAUGUUAUUUUUUGACUCGUUCGGCACCUUACGAGAAAUCAAAGUGCUUGGGCUCCAGGGGGAGUAUGGUCGCAAGGCUGAAACUUAAAGAAAUUGACGGAAGGGCACCACCAGGGGUGGAGCCUGCGGCUUAAUUUGACUCAACACGGGGAAACUCACCAGGUCCAGACACAAUGAGGAUUGACAGAUUGAGAGCUCUUUCUUGAUUUUGUGGGUGGUGGUGCAUGGCCGUUCUUAGUUGGUGGAGUGAUUUGUCUGCUUAAUUGCGAUAACGAACGAGACCUUAACCUGCUAAAUAGCCCGUAUUGCUUUGGCAGUACGCCGGCUUCUUAGAGGGACUAUCGGCUCAAGCCGAUGGAAG